This 1469-nucleotide ribosomal RNA is filed under the name Lactiplantibacillus sp. RNAcentral describes it as "bacterial SSU rRNA". It matches the Rfam family "Bacterial small subunit ribosomal RNA". The record is from RNAcentral. Lineage: Bacteria; Bacillati; Bacillota; Bacilli; Lactobacillales; Lactobacillaceae.
CCAGUACUGUCUAUACAUGUAAUACGAACGAACUCUGGUAUUGAUUGGUGCUUGCAUCAUGAUUUACAUUUGAGUGAGUGGCGAACUGGUGAGUAACACGUGGGAAACCUGCCCAGAAGCGGGGGAUAACACCUGGAAACAGAUGCUAAUACCGCAUAACAACUUGGACCGCAUGGUCCGAGUUUGAAAGAUGGCUUCGGCUAUCACUUUUGGAUGGUCCCGCGGCGUAUUAGCUAGAUGGUGGGGUAACGGCUCACCAUGGCAAUGAUACGUAGCCGACCUGAGAGGGUAAUCGGCCACAUUGGGACUGAGACACGGCCCAAACUCCUACGGGAGGCAGCAGUAGGGAAUCUUCCACAAUGGACGAAAGUCUGAUGGAGCAACGCCGCGUGAGUGAAGAAGGGUUUCGGCUCGUAAAACUCUGUUGUUAAAGAAGAACAUAUCUGAGAGUAACUGUUCAGGUAUUGACGGUAUUUAACCAGAAAGCCACGGCUAACUACGUGCCAGCAGCCGCGGUAAUACGUAGGUGGCAAGCGUUGUCCGGAUUUAUUGGGCGUAAAGCGAGCGCAGGCGGUUUUUUAAGUCUGAUGUGAAAGCCUUCGGCUCAACCGAAGAAGUGCAUCGGAAACUGGGAAACUUGAGUGCAGAAGAGGACAGUGGAACUCCAUGUGUAGCGGUGAAAUGCGUAGAUAUAUGGAAGAACACCAGUGGCGAAGGCGGCUGUCUGGUCUGUAACUGACGCUGAGGCUCGAAAGUAUGGGUAGCAAACAGGAUUAGAUACCCUGGUAGUCCAUACCGUAAACGAUGAAUGCUAAGUGUUGGAGGGUUUCCGCCCUUCAGUGCUGCAGCUAACGCAUUAAGCAUUCCGCCUGGGGAGUACGGCCGCAAGGCUGAAACUCAAAGGAAUUGACGGGGGCCCGCACAAGCGGUGGAGCAUGUGGUUUAAUUCGAAGCUACGCGAAGAACCUUACCAGGUCUUGACAUACUAUGCAAAUCUAAGAGAUUAGACGUUCCCUUCGGGGACAUGGAUACAGGUGGUGCAUGGUUGUCGUCAGCUCGUGUCGUGAGAUGUUGGGUUAAGUCCCGCAACGAGCGCAACCCUUAUUAUCAGUUGCCAGCAUUAAGUUGGGCACUCUGGUGAGACUGCCGGUGACAAACCGGAGGAAGGUGGGGAUGACGUCAAAUCAUCAUGCCCCUUAUGACCUGGGCUACACACGUGCUACAAUGGAUGGUACAACGAGUUGCGAACUCGCGAGAGUAAGCUAAUCUCUUAAAGCCAUUCUCAGUUCGGAUUGUAGGCUGCAACUCGCCUACAUGAAGUCGGAAUCGCUAGUAAUCGCGGAUCAGCAUGCCGCGGUGAAUACGUUCCCGGGCCUUGUACACACCGCCCGUCACACCAUGAGAGUUUGUAACACCCAAAGUCGGUGGGGUAACCUUUUAGGAACCAGCCGCCUAAGGUGGACAUAAUG